UGGGGAAUUGUUCGCAAUGGGCGCAAGCCUGACGACGCAACGCCGCGUGGAGGAUGAAGAUCUUCGGGUCGUAAACUCCUGUCGAGCGGGACGAACACUUACCUGGCCAAUAUCCGGGUAGGCUGACGGUACCGCUAAAGGAAGCCCCGGCUAACUCCGUGCCAGCAGCCGCGGUAAUACGGGGGGGGCAAGCGUUGUUCGGAAUUACUGGGCGUAAAGGGCUCGUAGGCGGCCAACUAAGUCGGACGUGAAAUCCCCAGGCUCAACCUGGGAACUGCGUCUGAUACUGGAUGGCUUGAAUCCGGGAGAGGGAUGCAGAAUUCCAGGUGUAGCGGUGAAAUGCGUAGAUAUCUGGAGGAAUACCGGUGGCGAAGGCGGCAUCCUGGACCGGCAUUGACGCUGAGGAGCGAAAGCCAGGGGAGCAAACGGG
This 430-nucleotide ribosomal RNA is filed under the name uncultured bacterium. RNAcentral's name for it is "bacterial SSU rRNA". It matches the Rfam family "Bacterial small subunit ribosomal RNA", at positions 355 to 776 of the family's 1533-position model. The record is from RNAcentral.